RNAcentral lists this long non-coding RNA (2812 nucleotides) under Strigops habroptila (Kakapo). RNAcentral's name for it is "lncRNA (ENSSHBG00005000628.1)". The record is from RNAcentral. Lineage: Eukaryota; Metazoa; Chordata; Aves; Psittaciformes; Psittacidae.
AGAGCCCCGGCGCCGUUCCGCACUUGCGGAGUCCCGCCGGGGCGGCAGUGGGACCCUCCGCGGCGGCGGGGCGAGGCAGAGCCCUGGCACCCCCGGCCCGCUCCCGAGCUAAAAAAUGACCUUUCCCUGCAUAAUUUUGGAGCAGAAAUAAAAGAAGGCUUGCAGCUACCAGAAAGUCAUUAAGGCAUUAGUUUCUCUGAGAAGACAGAUCUGAAGAAAAUUCAAGAAAAUGAGAAAAUAGAUAUAAAUAAGGUGGAGUUGAAUACAAUGCCCACAUUUGUGGUUAGCUACAAGCAAUAUGUUAUGAAGAUGGUGGUAUUCAGACACGUACCCAACCAAUUUAAUUCAGAUAAAUUGGAUACAAGGCUUUGACCAGCAUGAGAAGAGCAGGGUUCUUCAAUCCCACCGAAGAGCACAGAGCUGAUCUCUAAGUCUGCUAUCUGCUCCUGCUAUGUCCUGAUGAAUGUUUGGUCCAGUACCAGACAGGAUGCAAAGCUGAACACCCAUAGCCAUCACUCUCCUGCUCUUCACAGUAGAUGUUGCUACCCUACAAUUAUCAAGAUUAAUAUGGUGUUGGAGAAUAUGACUGGAUUCUGCCCACACCACCAUGGCAUGCUGAUAAAGCAAUGAUAGCCUACAAAAGGUAUCAUUCUUCUGAUAAUGUAUAAAAUUAGAAACAUGUCCUCAGUGUUAAAACACCAGAACAGACAUUUUACUUGUGUUUUGGGUUGUUCUAUGAGACUUCACCAAAAAUUAUGUUUCUUCUAAGGAAUUCUGUGCGAUGGUUAAAAGCACCAACAAAAAGUUCAUAACCUGGUAAAUUCCAGACAUUCAUUUAAUGAAUAUUUUCUAUUGUAAUCCUGGAGUUUCUUCCCUGUGCAGUUUCUCAGAAGGUGAAAUUAAAAAAAACCCAACAAAACAACAAACCAAUUUAAAACUAUUUAUUUAACUUACAAUUAAAUUUAGUAUUUCUUACAAUUUGAAAGUCAAAAUUUACCUGAGCCUGUGUUUCUUGUGCUCUCAACUCUGUCACUGACUAUGGUAUUGAGGUAAAUAAGGGGCAUACUUAUUGAAGCAAAGAAGUCCUUACCAAGUCCUUAGAGGUGUGGGUGUCCAGACCAGCCUGUUGGCUGCUGAAUGCCCAAAUCUAUAAUUAAAAGUCAUCUUUGAAAUUCAAAGGGCUCCUGAGGUGCUCAGUAGGCAGCCUUUCACUUCCUGGGCUUCCCCCAAUCUGGAAGCAAGCUGCAGGCAGGAAAAAUGCAAAUUGGGCAGGGUUUUGUCCUGUUCACCACAGCUAUAUGCACCCCAGCAAAAGCCAAGCAGCGUUGUGUGGCAGUCAAGAGGCAAAGUUAAAUCACGUGUCUGUUAGUAUGAAAUGCUGAAAUAACUAUUCUAAUAUGUCUGAGAUGAUAACUGACUUUGUGUAGAAGAGAUCUGCAAGACACAGUAAAACACAGCUGGAUGCCUUUAUAUGUAGCAUAAUGAACAGAGGCUCGGAAGUUUGAGUUGUGUGGAUUUAUACAGGUUCAGCAAAGUCAACAUGCUGUAGAACUGCUUUCUGACUAAAGGAGAAGUCAUUUUCUUGUUACUUUUGGUUCAAGAGUUGUAUUGGACCUCAACAUGGAAGCACAGCUGAAGAAAAAGUAGGGCAUUGGCAGCUAUUAUGUUUAUGCCUUUUCUUUUUCUUUUUUUUCCCCCUUAGGAAAUAAUUCUCCACCUUUUUUUUUUUUGAUCAAGUGCCAUGGGAAUAGGACCUACCCAGUGGAGAUUUCAGUGUGGCAGAAGGAUGGGAAGCAUGGAGAUUUCUGAGAUGGUUUGGAUGCUGCUUCUACCAAGUAGAAGUGAUGUUAAACUGAAAUUGUUCAUCAAACUGUCACCUCAUACGGAUUAUUCUAUUGGAAAGUCAAGAAAACCACCACUGAUUUUAUUUUUUUUCCCCAAAAAUAUAAAACAGAUAUCUUGUGUAAGAGGAGACAAUGUUCAAACACCCAAGCUCAAGAAGGGGCUAAAAGGAAAAGCCUGAGGUUAGAGCAGAGAGAAACUGUCAAAAGUUUUAAAAGAAAUUUUAUGAAGCCAUAUUUGUAUGCAAAAUCUAUGAUCACUUUGAAAUCAAAAAAGCUACUGUUAGGUUAUUUGCACAAAGUAGCUUUAUAGUCAGAAAACCCCUCAUCACUUCUAUCCCACUUUAAAAAAUACAUUCUAUACCAUUCUGAAAUCCCAAAAGACAAUAAAAAUCACUUGGAUUUAUGAUGCUUGGGUGUAAAGGAAUUAGAUGCAAGUAGCUGGGUUUUCACAGAAAUAUUAUUCUGGAACAUUUGAAUAACACAACUUUUGGACCAGGUGCUUGGGUUGUGUGUGUGAUGUGAGCACGUGAGCACUAUGAGGUGGACUUGUGAUGUCACUGCAUUUCCUGUUCAUCACUUAGCACAGCUGAACAUCAUGGCCCCUGUAAAGCCAAACAAGAGGUUGUCAGUGACUUCAGUGGAGCCAGAAUUUCAUCCCAGGCCAGGAGCUACUGAUGGAGAGUUCCACCGGCUGGUGACUUGGAGCAACUUCAAGUCAGUGAAGCUGAAGGGAAAAAAUUCCUUGUCACAUAACUGAUCUCUUUGGCAACCCAGGGUACCCAAAUUUCACUGGAUUUUCUACCAAGUUUCCAUUCAUGUUGCAACUAUGUAGAUAAUAUGUUAAGGCAUCAUUCUUAAAAAAGUAAGGAAUUAAUUUCUCUAAGAGAUGGGUGAUUUGUAGAAGACAUUUGUGUAUUUUUGCAUGCUAAAUGUGCUUUAUAUUUACAAAUAAAUUUGCAUAAAAUCUC